GGAUUGUUAGCUUAACCGGCAAAGCAUCCGGCUCUUAACCGGAAGGAUAUUGGUUCAACGCCAAUACGAUCCACCA
This 76-nucleotide transfer RNA is filed under the name Candidatus Thiodiazotropha sp. (ex Lucinoma borealis). RNAcentral describes it as "tRNA-Lys". It matches the Rfam family "tRNA". From Rfam's summary of the family: Transfer RNA (tRNA) molecules are approximately 80 nucleotides in length. Their secondary structure includes four short double-helical elements and three loops (D, anti-codon, and T loops). RNAcentral also lists the same sequence under 1 other name. Lineage: Bacteria; Pseudomonadati; Pseudomonadota; Gammaproteobacteria; Chromatiales; Sedimenticolaceae. The record is from RNAcentral.